Molecule: long non-coding RNA, 1705 nt
Filed under: Prunus dulcis (almond)
Lineage: Eukaryota; Viridiplantae; Streptophyta; Magnoliopsida; Rosales; Rosaceae
Description: sRNA ncRNA
Source: RNAcentral
GUUCUUUGUCGAAAAUUUCUUCUUCCUUCUCGACUCGACGCUCAGCUCUCUCAGCCAACUAGCCACGUCAGGUCAGCCUCUCUCUCUCUCUCUCUCUCUCUCUCUCUCUCUCUCUCUCUCUCUCAUUUCGAUACCCUCAGUCUUAGCCUGUCAAUCUCAAAUCUUGGCGUCAACCACUUCGAAUCUUGAAGCGGGUGUUCGCUGUCAUCUCAGAUAGACCUCCUCUUCCUCAACCGACCCGGUAUGUGCUUUCCAAUUUAGUGAAAUUACGUUUGUUCUGUGAAAUUUAUAUCAGGGUUUAUGUAGAAAUUAGUUUGGGGCUUCAGUUUUAAUUAGGCUGUUGGAGUUUUCGGAUUAAAUAUAACCUUGAUGCCUAAAGGUUUACCUGUUGAUUAACAUCAUAUCUGCCUUAUUCUUUCCUUGCUUUUAUACACAUUGCUUUUUUAUUUUUAUUUUUUUUUAUGCCUAAUUUGGAGUCUUCGGAUUUGAUGCUUCUUGUGCGGUAUCCGUGGUUUACUGCUGACUGUAAUUGUGGGAUGUUAUUUGUCUGAAUGAGGAAUUGGGUUAUGUUCUGGUCUAUGGUAAAGGAGAUUUCAUCAUGGGAAUUCCGAGCCUCCGCAUUUAGAGAGUGCAUUUACACGCAUAUUGCAAAAUCUGGGACAUUCAAAUAAUCUUGUGACUGUGGGUAGGAGCUGUUCAAGAAUGGUUUUGUAUUUUUGUGAUCAUAACCAGAUUAAAUGAGUAAAGUGUUACUAAGUUAUGUUUUUAGGAUAUUGUGAAUUGGCCUGAAAUUGGGUACGUUCUCAGUCAGUGUAUUUGGAAUCUUAAUAGUAACUUUGAUUGGACCUGUAUCUUUUGGGAAAUUAGUGUUACAAACAUGGUUGUUCAUACUUAAAUUGUUGUUUAAUUGGCAUUUGGUCAUGCAUUAAUUGGACAGUCUGCUCCAAUAAUGAUUACAGACAACUGAAAAGAGACACUUACCAUAGCAAUGGGGAUUAAAUAUGUGAAAACCAUGUGGUUUAAUUUUGUAUGUAAUGCUCUUUUCCUCUAUCAAUGUAGAUGGAAUCUUAAUUUUGAAUAAUAACUUUCGUUUUGGCAUUAUUUUCAUGCAAUGCUGUCCCUGCAGCUCCCUCUGCUGCUCCUGAGAAAGAGAAGGGGAAGGAAGAAUACAAGGAUGUAAGUUUUAAUCAAUUGGUUCGACCUCUGUCAAUGUUGGCAUUUUUAAUCACCCAACUAUGCUUCUGGCUACUGGCUACAGAAGUCACUACUAGAAGAAAAUGAACAAAAUAUGCGUUGUCACUCAUAUGCAAUUGUGCUCUCAUCACUCUCAUCCUCAAUCGGGUGCUGGGCCUGAUUAUCAACUAUCUGGUCAUCGACCACUUGCAAAUCCAUGGGGUCCUCAAACAUUGGUCGAUUCAUGGGGUCCUCAUCUUCAACUGCUGGCGGAUUCACUAGGUCCUCGUCCUGUGGAAGAUUCUCAAAUGGAAUUGGAUGGGCUUCUACUGGCAGAUCAUCAAUCCGGUGCAAGUAAAAAUAUAUGGCGUCUAUGCUUUCAAUCAUCAUACUCAUGACCUCCUCCCAAGGCCUCUGAUUGACACCAUGAGUAUUCUCAUAUAAAACAAUAUUAUGAAAUUCAUACCAGUAGUCGUAGUCGUCUAGAACAUCAUGCUCUAGUAAUGGAUUACCUUUUAGCAACAGUAAUAGC